This 415-nucleotide ribosomal RNA is filed under the name uncultured bacterium. RNAcentral describes it as "bacterial SSU rRNA". It matches the Rfam family "Bacterial small subunit ribosomal RNA", at positions 355 to 787 of the family's 1533-position model. The record is from RNAcentral.
UGGGGAAUAUUGCACAAUGGGGGAAACCCUGAUGCAGCGACGCCGCGUGAGCGAUGAAGUAUUUCGGUAUGUAAAGCUCUAUCAGCAGGGAAGAAAAUGACGGUACCUGACUAAGAAGCACCGGCUAAAUACGUGCCAGCAGCCGCGGUAAUACGUAUGGUGCAAGCGUUAUCCGGAUUUACUGGGUGUAAAGGGAGCGUAGACGGAUGGGCAAGUCUGAUGUGAAAACCCGGGGCUCAACCCCGGGACUGCAUUGGAAACUGUUCAUCUAGAGUGCUGGAGAGGUAAGUGGAAUUCCUAGUGUAGCGGUGAAAUGCGUAGAUAUUAGGAGGAACACCAGUGGCGAAGGCGGCUUACUGGACAGUAACUGACGUUGAGGCUCGAAAGCGUGGGGAGCAAACAGGAUUAGAUACCC